Molecule: microRNA precursor, 68 nt
Filed under: Dasypus novemcinctus (nine-banded armadillo)
Lineage: Eukaryota; Metazoa; Chordata; Mammalia; Cingulata; Dasypodidae
Description: miRNA (ENSDNOG00000029478.1)
Source: RNAcentral
UUUGUGCAUGUGUUUGUGUAUUUGUGUGUGCAUGCAUAUGUGUGUGCAUGGGUAUAUAGUUCUAUGCA